GGUAGGAUGGCUGAGAACAAGCGGUGGACUGUAGAUCCACAGACAGAGGUUUGAGCCCUCUUCUUAUCA
Molecule: transfer RNA, 69 nt
Filed under: Raddaella batesii
Lineage: Eukaryota; Metazoa; Chordata; Actinopteri; Cyprinodontiformes; Nothobranchiidae
Description: tRNA-Tyr
Rfam family: tRNA
About the family: Transfer RNA (tRNA) molecules are approximately 80 nucleotides in length. Their secondary structure includes four short double-helical elements and three loops (D, anti-codon, and T loops). Further hydrogen bonds mediate the characteristic L-shaped molecular structure. tRNAs have two regions of fundamental functional importance: the anti-codon, which is responsible for specific mRNA codon recognition, and the 3' end, to which the tRNAs corresponding amino acid is attached (by aminoacyl-tRNA synthetases). tRNAs cope with the degeneracy of the genetic code in two manners: having more than one tRNA (with a specific anti-codon) for a particular amino acid; and 'wobble' base-pairing, i.e. permitting non-standard base-pairing at the 3rd anti-codon position.
Source: RNAcentral